UCUUAUCUGAGUGUCCCGCGGGGCCCGAAGCGUUUACUUUGAAAAAAUUAGAGUGUUCAAAGCAGGCCCGAGCCGCCUGGAUACCGCAGCUAGGA
This 95-nucleotide microRNA precursor is filed under the name Tursiops truncatus (common bottlenose dolphin). RNAcentral's name for it is "miRNA (ENSTTRG00000024598.1)". The record is from RNAcentral. Lineage: Eukaryota; Metazoa; Chordata; Mammalia; Artiodactyla; Delphinidae.